Molecule: ribosomal RNA, 1554 nt
Filed under: Salmonella enterica subsp. enterica serovar Sloterdijk str. ATCC 15791
Lineage: Bacteria; Pseudomonadati; Pseudomonadota; Gammaproteobacteria; Enterobacterales; Enterobacteriaceae
Description: bacterial SSU rRNA
Rfam family: Bacterial small subunit ribosomal RNA
Source: RNAcentral
UUAAAUUGAAGAGUUUGAUCAUGGCUCAGAUUGAACGCUGGCGGCAGGCCUAACACAUGCAAGUCGAACGGUAACAGGAAGCAGCUUGCUGCUUUGCUGACGAGUGGCGGACGGGUGAGUAAUGUCUGGGAAACUGCCUGAUGGAGGGGGAUAACUACUGGAAACGGUGGCUAAUACCGCAUAACGUCGCAAGACCAAAGAGGGGGACCUUCGGGCCUCUUGCCAUCAGAUGUGCCCAGAUGGGAUUAGCUUGUUGGUGAGGUAACGGCUCACCAAGGCGACGAUCCCUAGCUGGUCUGAGAGGAUGACCAGCCACACUGGAACUGAGACACGGUCCAGACUCCUACGGGAGGCAGCAGUGGGGAAUAUUGCACAAUGGGCGCAAGCCUGAUGCAGCCAUGCCGCGUGUAUGAAGAAGGCCUUCGGGUUGUAAAGUACUUUCAGCGGGGAGGAAGGUGUUGUGGUUAAUAACCGCAGCAAUUGACGUUACCCGCAGAAGAAGCACCGGCUAACUCCGUGCCAGCAGCCGCGGUAAUACGGAGGGUGCAAGCGUUAAUCGGAAUUACUGGGCGUAAAGCGCACGCAGGCGGUCUGUCAAGUCGGAUGUGAAAUCCCCGGGCUCAACCUGGGAACUGCAUUCGAAACUGGCAGGCUUGAGUCUUGUAGAGGGGGGUAGAAUUCCAGGUGUAGCGGUGAAAUGCGUAGAGAUCUGGAGGAAUACCGGUGGCGAAGGCGGCCCCCUGGACAAAGACUGACGCUCAGGUGCGAAAGCGUGGGGAGCAAACAGGAUUAGAUACCCUGGUAGUCCACGCCGUAAACGAUGUCUACUUGGAGGUUGUGCCCUUGAGGCGUGGCUUCCGGAGCUAACGCGUUAAGUAGACCGCCUGGGGAGUACGGCCGCAAGGUUAAAACUCAAAUGAAUUGACGGGGGCCCGCACAAGCGGUGGAGCAUGUGGUUUAAUUCGAUGCAACGCGAAGAACCUUACCUGGUCUUGACAUCCACGGAAGUUUUCAGAGAUGAGAAUGUGCCUUCGGGAACCGUGAGACAGGUGCUGCAUGGCUGUCGUCAGCUCGUGUUGUGAAAUGUUGGGUUAAGUCCCGCAACGAGCGCAACCCUUAUCCUUUGUUGCCAGCGGUCCGGCCGGGAACUCAAAGGAGACUGCCAGUGAUAAACUGGAGGAAGGUGGGGAUGACGUCAAGUCAUCAUGGCCCUUACGACCAGGGCUACACACGUGCUACAAUGGCGUAUACAAAGAGAAGCGACCUCGCGAGAGCAAGCGGACCUCAUAAAGUGCGUCGUAGUCCGGAUUGGAGUCUGCAACUCGACUCCAUGAAGUCGGAAUCGCUAGUAAUCGUGGAUCAGAAUGCCACGGUGAAUACGUUCCCGGGCCUUGUACACACCGCCCGUCACACCAUGGGAGUGGGUUGCAAAAGAAGUAGGUAGCUUAACCUUCGGGAGGGCGCUUACCACUUUGUGAUUCAUGACUGGGGUGAAGUCGUAACAAGGUAACCGUAGGGGAACCUGCGGUUGGAUCACCUCCUUACCUUAAAGAA